Molecule: ribosomal RNA, 301 nt
Filed under: uncultured bacterium
Lineage: Bacteria
Description: partial 16S ribosomal RNA
Rfam family: Bacterial small subunit ribosomal RNA
Source: RNAcentral
CAGUCGCCGCGGGAAUACAGAGGGUGCAAGCGUUAAUCGGAAUUACUGGGCGUAAAGCGCGCGUAGGUGGUUUGUUAAGUUGGAUGUGAAAUCCCCGGGCUCAACCUGGGAACUGCAUUCAAAACUGACUGACUAGAGUAUGGUAGAGGGUGGUGGAAUUUCCUGUGUAGCGGUGAAAUGCGUAGAUAUAGGAAGGAACACCAGUGGCGAAGGCGACCACCUGGACUAAUACUGACACUGAGGUGCGAAAGCGUGGGGAGCAAACAGGAUUAGAUACCCGCGUAGUCCCUGUCUCUUAUAC